GCCACUGUGGCUUAGCUCGGCAUAGCGACUGAUUCGUAAUCAGUAGGUCGGGGGUUCAAAUCCCCCCAGUGGCUCCA
This 77-nucleotide transfer RNA is filed under the name Methanobacteriota archaeon. Its description in RNAcentral is "Euryarchaeota archaeon tRNA-Thr". It matches the Rfam family "tRNA". Rfam says of the family: Transfer RNA (tRNA) molecules are approximately 80 nucleotides in length. The record is from RNAcentral. Lineage: Archaea; Methanobacteriati; Methanobacteriota.